This 69-nucleotide non-coding RNA is filed under the name Bifidobacterium longum subsp. longum JDM301. RNAcentral describes it as "Transposase-2 RNA". It matches the Rfam family "Transposase-2 RNA". Lineage: Bacteria; Bacillati; Actinomycetota; Actinomycetes; Bifidobacteriales; Bifidobacteriaceae. The record is from Rfam by way of RNAcentral.
GAAACGCGAACCAAGCGGCGGCGGGAACCGCGUGAGGCUUGGAGCUGGCCUUGGCAACGAGGCCAUGCA